CACGGGGGGAGCAAGCGUUGUUCGGAAUUACUGGGCGUAAAGGGUGUCUAGGCGGUCAGGUGAGUGAGAUGUGAAAUGCCCCGGCUUACCCGGGGACCGGCAUCUCAUACUGCCUGGUUUGAGUACGGGAGAGGAUGAGGGAAUUCCUGGUGUAGCGGUGAAAUGCGUAGAUAUCAGGAGGAACACCGGUGGCGAAGGCGCUCAUCUGGCCCGAUACUGACGCUGAAGCACGAAAGCUAGGGGAGCAAACGGG
This 253-nucleotide ribosomal RNA is filed under the name uncultured bacterium. Its description in RNAcentral is "partial 16S ribosomal RNA". It matches the Rfam family "Bacterial small subunit ribosomal RNA", at positions 524 to 776 of the family's 1533-position model. The record is from RNAcentral.